RNAcentral lists this ribosomal RNA (504 nucleotides) under uncultured Lachnospiraceae bacterium. RNAcentral's name for it is "partial 16S ribosomal RNA". The record is from RNAcentral. Lineage: Bacteria; Bacillati; Bacillota; Clostridia; Lachnospirales; Lachnospiraceae.
CACGUAGUUAGCCGGGGCUUCUUAGUCGGGUACCGUCUUUCUUCUUCCCCGCUGAUAGAGCUUUACAUACCGAGAUACUUCCUCACUCACGCGGCGUUGCUGCGUCACGGGUUUCCCCCAUUGCGCAAUAUUCCCCACUGCUGCCUCCCGUAGGAGUUUGGGCCGUGUCUCAGUCCCAAUGUGGCCGGCCACCCUCUCAGGUCGGCUACUGAUCGUCGCCUUGGUGGGCCUUUACCCCGCCAACCAGCUAAUCAGACGCGGGCCCAUCCCAUACCACCGGAGUUUUUCGCCCGGGGCCAUGCGGCCUCGCGCGCUUACGCGGUAUUAGCGGUCAUUUCUAACCGUUAUCCCCCGGUAUGGGGCAGGUUACCCACCGCGUUACUCACCCGUCCGCCGCUAGUCACUCCCGCUUCCUUCCGAAAACUUACCGCGUGAGCGCUUCGCUCGACUUGCAUGUGUUAAGCACGCCGCCAGCGUUCAUCCUGACGCCAGGAUACAACUACU